AAAAAAAAACAUGACGAUUUAUGUCGGAUUAGAAUAAGUGCAUGUGGAGAAUAGUAGGGUUGCCAUUAUAAAUAAGGAAGACAAUGCUCUCAGAAUGCAAUUUAUCUCGGACUACAUCGACUGCAUGACCACUUCAAAACGGAAGUGAAUUUUGUCUGUGCUAGAUUGCAUUUACUGUGGUGAUAUUAGUUGUGAUGAACAUCAUAAGUUCAAAGGAAAUGGCGUGUCAUAGGUCAAUAGCAUGAGCUCACCUAUACCUCUGAGGGAGCUGCAGGUUACCUCUGUGUCGCAAUCCAUACCCGUGUGCUGCUGCUGGUAGCAGUUGUGGUACAACAGGUAGCUGGAAAGCAUAGUGUACUUCUGCGUGAUACUGAGGCUGAGUAGGUACAGCCAUGGGCGGAACAACUAAAUCUGCUGGAGCCACAGCAUUCGGAGUAGCAAUGUAAAGCUUCAAUCGGUCACAGUGUAUGGUCUGGACUUUGCCCGUGGAAUCGGCAAUGGCAAAUACAACAUCAUUGAUCUGAGAUGCAAUGGUGAAGGGGCCUUUCCAGGGUAGAUGAACCUUUCGCGUCAGGCCGAUCUUUACUGCAGGGUUAUGUAGGCUAACACGAUCAUCAAUACUGAGACGAGGCUUAUUCGUGAACUUAUCAUACAGAGCUUUCUGGCGUUUCUGAGCAACUGCUUCAGAAGCACAAGCAUGAUCAAAGGCUUGCUGUAGGUGACACUUCAAUCGCUGUACAUAGUCGGUGGCGGUAAAGGCCUGCUGUGUAGGACUGUUGAACAUGACAUCAAUAGGUAGGUGUAACUCACGACCAAACAUCAAUCUACCGGGGGUCUUCCUUGUGGAGGAAUGAACACUGGAGCGAUAGGCUAGAAGACGUCGUUGUGUGUUGUGUGUGUGUGUUCAUCCCAGUUGGUGUGGUGAUCAUUCACAUGAGCUGAUAAUAUGUUCUCAAUGGUUCGACUCAUGCGCUCCACCAGACCAUCACUCUGUGGUCUAUACGCGGUGGUGUGUGAUUUCCGUACAUCCAAAAGUUGACAUAUCUGCUUGAACAAAUGCGAUUCAAACUGAGGUCCUCUAUCAGAGUGAAGUUGAUACGGCAUGCCGUAUCGACAGAACACACCAUCAACUAAUACAGUGGCGAGUGUCUCGGUACGCGUGUCAGGAAUACCAAACGCCUCAGGCUUUCGUGAAAUAGUCCAUAAUGACAACAAUGUAACGAUAACAACGGGAUGACUCUGGUAACGGGCCCAUGAUGUCAAUCGCCACACGUUCAAAUGGAAAUGAAGGCUGAUCUUGCACCAAUGGUGCUUUCGGGUUAGGUGUUGGCGACUUGCGACUUUCACAUACAGAGCAACUCUUGCAUAAAUCCGUAACAGAUGCAGUCAUCAAUGGCCAAUAGAACCACCGUGCUCGAAGCUUCUGUAGAGUACGUUCUAUUCCUAGAUGGCCACCGGAGACAUCAGCAUGGGCACUCUGCAUUGCUGUUGUCUGAAGAGAUGAUGGAACGACUAAUAGCAAAAUGGGAGUUUCGCUAUCCUCGGGUUGAUACACCCGGUACAAAACAUCAUCACAUAACUUUAGGCGUUUCCAAUUGCUCCACAGUCUCAGUACACCUACUGAUACACCUCGCAUUGCAGAGUCACUACGUACAGGUCGGUCUAGAAGGGCUUCUUGCCAACCAAUCAGGGUACUGACGUCUGGAUCUUGAAGUUGAACAGUUCUUAAUUCAGCAGCUAUAAAUGCUUCACACCAAUUAGGAUCACUAGGACUAGAUGGUAAGUCACUGGGCUGUGUGCAGGAAUCAGCUUCUACUGAGUACACAGGACAGGGGACAUCAGCAUUUACUUGCCUUUGAUCAUUUUCUGGAAGGCGUGACAGAGCAUCAGCGUUGGCGUGUUUGGAGCCAGGCCGGUGGCGGACAGCAUAGGAGAAUCGCGACAGUCGCUCAAUCGAUCGGGCAAGCAGGCCAGCGGGCUCCUUGAAGGAACUCAACCAAAGAAGAGACUUGUGGUCAGUACGCAAUGUGAAUUCAGCUCCAAGCAAAUAAUGGCUAAAUGCAUCAGCAAACUCUACGACAGCUAGCAGUUCACGCUUAGUGACCGAAUAGUUCUUCUGAGACCGUGAUAGGGAUUUGCUUGCAUAAGCAAUGACAACUUCAUGACCAUCAUCAUUCACUUUGGAUAGUACAGCACCAAUACCCGUACCUGAUGCAUCAGUGUCAAGAAUAAAUUAAUGCCUUCUGUGCGUCAGGAUAUGCUAGUACUGGUGGUGAUAUCAAGUGUGACUUCAAUAACAAAGGCCUGCUUGCAGUCAUCUGUCCAUAUGAAGGGAGUAUCUUUAUGUGACAAGAGGUGCAAAGGACCGGCUACAGUUGAAAAGUUAGGUACAAAUCUGCGGUAAUAGGAGGCAAAGCCAAGGAAACUACGUAACUCUCUAGCAUGGAGAUGAGGGCACCGACCAAUCCUUGACGACCACAUACUUAUUGGUAUCAGGUAGAACACCAUCAGCAGAGAAGGUAUAACCCAGAUAGGUCACCGAUGAGCAGAGUAAUUGGUACUUCUUGGGUUUAACCUUGAGACCUGCCAUUCGGAGCCGGUUGAAGAUGAGUUGUAGUCGUUCCAUGUGUUCCGACAAAGAUGAAGAGAACACACUAAUGGCAAAUUGAUGGCACAAGGUCCCCUAGCACUAGGUUCAUCAGGCGUUGAAAUGUUCCAGGAGCGUUGCACAGUCCAAACGGCAUUCGGUUCCACUCGUAUAAGCCAAAUGGGGUAACACAUGCAGAUUUGGCUUUGGCGGCUUCAUCCAACUCAACUUGCCAGUAGCCCGAUGCAAUGUCCAACGUGGAGAAGUACAACGCACCACUCAUGGCAUCAAUGGCAUCAUCAACUCUAGGCAUGGGGAAAGCGUCUUUCUUGGUGAUUGAGUUCAAGUUUCUGUAGUCAAUACACAGUCGGAUCGAGGAGUCUGGCUUGCGAACUACCACGAUAGGUGCAGCCCAGGGGCUCUUCGACGGUGAAAUCACAUCAUUAUCUAGCAACUCUUGAACAUGGGCUUCGACUUCAGCACGCUGUUGAAUGGGCAGGCGUCAAGGGGGUUGUCGCUUAGGCUUCUCAGAAUCGGUCUCGAUCUGGUGCGUAAUUACAUCCGUCUUACCUAAAUCAAACUGACCACAUGAUAUGACGAAUCCAAGAUGGGUGCCGUGACAUUAUCAGAAUCUACAGUGAAAGAAAAAGGAAUGAGCUGCCGAGUCUGGGGUUUGAACCUGUGAGAGGCGAUCUGGAUGAAACCGUAAACUUAGGUAAAACUACAACUUGGGAAAGACAACGUUAUAUUUCCGUGGAUUCCAGUUUUUCUCCCUUCCUUAUCAAAACAUAAUUUAAGCGCAGUUUAGCGCGUACUGGUUUAUGAUUUCUUUUUCUUCUGUUUGUAUUUAGCGCUUGACCGGUUAUUAUUUUCCUUCUCUUUAUUUUGCGCUACAUAUUAUUAUUUUUAUGGGUUGAGAGUUCGUAUUGGACUGUGAAAAAAGAGGAAAGACAACAAGAUGAGACGACCAUAGUCCAUUCAUUGGAAACUGGCACCCUAACUUUUUCGUGUCUCCCGCACAUAGUUGUAGAUAUCGUGAAAACAACAGUACAUCCUGCAUUGUGUGACCCAUGCAAUUACUCCUAGCCACAUUUGAGGCCAGAAAAGUCCAAGGACAGGGAAAUAGAAAUUCGGCCAGGUUUUACAAAAUUGGGACAGGUAUGCCAUGGCAAAAUGUAUGGAGAAGCAGAUCCAAAACCCAGAUAUUUGAGAUUUAAAGUGGGUUUUUGAUCAUCAAUUCGGCCCAAAUCGGACUUUCAAAAGCCAGCGGGACAGUUUCCGAUGAAUGGACUGUAGUAUACAUACAUUACAAUCCUGGAAUGCCACACAGACUCCCACUGCUCAUUUCCUCAUGUUCCUUAUACAUAGGCAUGUCCUUUUUUUCCUUUGGCACCUGCAUACAUGUGCAACGUAUGCACUACCAUACACGUCUGCAGGUCCACACUGCACUCACUGGGCAACCCGAUACGCCUGCUACAUGCAGCGUGCAGCACGCACUGAGUUACCAUAUAAGGUGGCGGUACGUUGCGGUGAAGGGAAUGUUGAUACUAGUCCUGUGAGCGAGAAUCAAGUUGAAUUUGCGGCCCAAAGCUCGGUUUUUGAUGCCUUUGGACAACGAGUCCUUCAACAUUCCCUUCAUCGUAACGCACCGCCACAAGAGAUGAAGUCCUCGGCUCAUUGACCGCUUCAUCAGCCAUGUAUCAAACAUGUCACAAAGGUCCAGCAAGAAGUAAAUACAAAGAAACACUUUCUACAUAUCGGACAGCAAUGAAGAAGCGAGAAUAAAACAGAAUCCUUCGCUGUCAGUUUUUUUCCGAUCCAAGAGAGUCCCGUUUUUUCUGGCCACCUGGGUGAGUACACGCCAAACGCGGUGAUUGAUCGUGGCGGUUCCAGAACAAGAGCUCGCGCUGGGAGGAAUGCACUGCAUGUAUCGCGUGCCCGGGUCACGCAUUCAGUACGCGUGCCAUGCCCCGCCAAGUCACUGCGUGUCUUGUUUGGCAAAAGAUCUAUUGUGCGCCUGUCCUGGCUCCGGUUUGCACUUACAGCUCAGCGAUCAGAAAUAUUUUUUUCUUUUACAGCAGUUUGGAGAGCUCAAACUGUUCAGUUGUUGUUUUCUGCUUCUUGCUCCGCAGUAGUGGUUGGCUUGUGAAUUCUUUUUCCCACCAUCCCACCCUUACCAUUAUCUAUAACUAGGACCUCACUUCCGGUCCACUUUUCACAAUAAACACCGGGUGCUGGUACAACUCUUAACGGCAAUGGUUUAACUCGUUCAAUCACUUCGUGCUCUAUGUUGAGCCAACACACGCGCUCUAUGUUGAGCCACCAUACGCGCUCUAUGUUGAGCCACUCACUCUCUCGCGCUCUAUGUUGAACCACUCACUCUCUUGUGCUCUAUGUUGAGCCUCUCUCUCUCUCUCUCUCUCUCUCUCUCUCUCUCUCUCUCUCUCUCUCUCUCUCUCUCUCUCUCUCUCUCUCUCUCUCUCUCUCUCUCUCUCUCUCUCUCUCUCUCUCUCUCUCUCAUGCUCUAUGUUGAGCCACAUUGCCUCACUCGCAGCCAGCACUCGUAUAAGUGUUAACUCCAAACUCCGUGCCCUGUGUGUUGGUGUACUUCAUAGCGGUGUAGCAUCUGCAUGUGGAUGUGGGAUGUUGGCUAAUAGGCCAUUCACACGACGUGCAAACUCACUUUUAUCGUACUGUCUCCAGGGAUAUUUACUCGGAUACGAUAAACUUGGACUCCCGCGUGCAACUGAUUUUUUAUCUUGGCCGAGGCCCUUUUGCUUGCGAUUAUCUUUGCACGCCGGGAAAAGUGUCGGUUGUUGAAAGUGCGUACUGCAAAUGCAGUGCUUGAACAAAGGAAAAUUCAAAAUUUAACAUUUCCCGGCAAUUUCAGGGGGUCACUAUGGAUACAUUGACGAUUGCAAAGUUUGCCCAGCACCGUGUGAACUGGAUCACGGUUUGCCAGUGUUAUCUUGAUCACACGCGUGCAAAUGUGUGCACGUCGUGUGAAUGGCCUAUAAUGGUAAAUAUGUAGAUGGACUCCGAAACAUGCAAACAUCUUUGACUAUGCGAACGAGACCAAAGCGGAGAACGAGAGAAGUUCAGCACAGUUCCAAUCUGACGAGUCAGAUACACUGACACUCUCUUUCGUUCGACGCCACAAGGAUACCCUGUUUGACUGGACAAGAGCUGCCUGUACCACCGUGUCAAAAGGCUGUCCAACUACAUGGCAGGACAAUGACUGAGGUGUGCUGAUCUUCAGAAGCUUGCGGAACUGAGUGCUGCUGAACAUUUCCAUGGCCAUGAGCAAUGGUGAAGCUUGCUAUUCCACUCUCAGCAUGUGCUAGUAUUAUGCUGACUACUGCACUAUGUUGAUCUCUUACACUAAUACAUGUAUGUAAACGUGCGUGCACCCGUCCACGUAUGCAUUCGUUUCGUAUAAUUAUUUGUUAUCCCUCUUUACGUGUAAAUGGGUGGACGUUUGCAUGGCUGUUGGAGUUGCGUGUGUAUUGUGUCUCUACUCUUUUCUUGGUGUUUUCUUGGCGUUGUAUAAGUUUGUGUGUGUGUGUGUGUGUGUGUGUGUGUGUGCGCGUGCGUGUGUGUGGACGUUUCCAUGGCUGUUGGAGUUGCGUGUGUAUUGUGUCUCUACUCUUUUCUUGGCGUUGUAUAAGUUUGUGUGUGUGUGCGUGUAUGUGUGUGUGUGUGUGUGUGUGCGCGCGCACACAAUAAUUUGAAAACAAUAAAUUAAUUCUUGGCUCUCAAUCAUAGCCUAUUCUCUUUCGAUUAUUGGUAUUUUUCUUGGUAUUUUCUUGGCGUUGCGUGGGUGUGUGCAUGUGUGUAUGUGUGUGUGCGUGCACAACGAUUUGAGAACACUACAUGAUUGAGAUAUUGUAAUUUGCAGCGUCUGCGAAGAGACCACUUGAUUUGAGGAUGGUGUUUGUAGGUUUUUUUCAUGUAAUUGUUGUGAUCACAGGAGUGUGAUUCCCACCUACUUAUAAAUGUGACGUCAUGUACAUUUAUGUGCUGUGUACAUUAUGCGUCAUGGGUCUCUAGCUCUGUUUUAUUAUUCUGUGUUUUAUGCAUGUUUUGUGAGCGGAUCUUUCAUGUGAUCGCUUAAGCGGGAUUCACAGAAGCUUUUUUGCGAUGCUACAGCCGCGAAACCGGGAAAACCCCAAAUUGCAAACAUCGCGGACCCCACGCAACUGCCGCAACAGGGCCAUCGCGAAAGUUGCUCAACUUUUGCGAUGCGACAAGCGAUUUGGCGUACGAUGUUGGCCUUUUCUACAGCAAAGUUGUACACAGGUUCAAGAGUUGCCUAUAAAUUUGUACAAGGUGUACCAAACCGCGCGGAUACCAUGAUGACGUACCCAAAUCAGCAAGACUUUGUCGCAUCGCUGACUUCUUCUGUGAAUGGUAUUUCGCGAGUUCGCAUCGCACGCGUCCAUCGCAGAUCGCGUCGCAUUGCAAAAAAGCUUCUGUGAAUCCCGCUUUAAGGUGGGACACCACCAUUCGCGGCCCAUAUCAGACCGCAUACAAUUGAAAUAGGCAUAAUUAUCAUGAAAAGGGAUUGGCAGAUUGCCUUGAAAUUUUCCAUGUUCAAUCACUAUAUACUGCUACACAAU
Molecule: long non-coding RNA, 7206 nt
Organism: Sycon ciliatum
Lineage: Eukaryota; Metazoa; Porifera; Calcarea; Leucosolenida; Sycettidae
Exons: 3
Source: RefSeq, a predicted model, not a curated record